UUUUCUAUAAAAUAAGGUCAAUCAGUUUCAAAAUGUCUCACUAAUGACAGCCCAACAGUAUACAAGCUAGCUGACUUAGCUGGAUUUUCCACUUAAAUAUAAUUAUAUUUGGGGAGAAAGUGGAUACAUUUAUUUUCAGAGACUUUCUUCAGGUGUUUUCUGUAUAAAAAGUGGGUACAAUAAAGUGUUUCAAGAAACACUUUCCUUUCACUGGUCUCCUGAUCUUUUUCCUACUUCCUUAGAUCCAUAAAUACUUGUUGAAUAAAUAAGUAAAUGAAUGAAUAUGGAGAUCACAUUAUUUGAGGAUCCAAAGCAACUAAUUGCAAGACAUAAAAUUCCAUUUAAACAAAGAGUCUGCCCAUAGGCACGUCUAAAUGAUGGGAAUAAAUUUCAAGUCCUAGUUUUUUCUUUUGACCAUGCUUGUGUGAUCUUAGUUCUCUGUUAUGGGGAAGUUUCUAAAUUGCCUCAGGAAAAACAUUUUGAAUUGUUCUUUAAGAACUGUUGUCAAGUCCUUCAUUUCAGAUCAAUGGUUUCCAAACUAGGCUUCAUAGCAUACAGAAGUGCUUUUUCCACCUAAAGAUGUAUAUGUGGAUACAUCCUAGAGAACCAACUUGUCAGCUUAUGUGGACAAUUGGUUUUUAUGUUCACCUUCUCCUGCUACCUUAAAGCAUAAACUUAAGCUUACAA
This 687-nucleotide long non-coding RNA is filed under the name Bos taurus (domestic cattle). Its description in RNAcentral is "long non-coding RNA NONBTAT011804". Lineage: Eukaryota; Metazoa; Chordata; Mammalia; Artiodactyla; Bovidae. The record is from RNAcentral.